AAUCCAUAAUGUGGGCAUCUUUGUAUUAGCUUUUUAAAAUGCUCCCAAGCUCCGUGAAAGCUCUCUUCUUCUAAUUAUUUGAACGUUGCGAUCUCUCUUCUCAAUU
Molecule: small nucleolar RNA, 106 nt
Filed under: Gossypium barbadense (sea-island cotton)
Lineage: Eukaryota; Viridiplantae; Streptophyta; Magnoliopsida; Malvales; Malvaceae
Also listed under: 2 other names
Description: Plant small nucleolar RNA R71
Rfam family: Plant small nucleolar RNA R71
About the family: R71 is a member of the C/D box family of snoRNAs containing the C (UGAUGA) and D (CUGA) box motifs. Multiple nearly identical copies of this snoRNA have been identified in Arabidopsis, and it is thought to function as a 2'-O-ribose methylation guide for 18S ribosomal RNA.
Source: Rfam by way of RNAcentral